Molecule: ribosomal RNA, 634 nt
Filed under: uncultured fungus
Lineage: Eukaryota; Fungi
Description: eukaryotic LSU rRNA
Rfam family: Eukaryotic large subunit ribosomal RNA
Source: RNAcentral
GAUCUCAAAUCAGGUAUGACCACCCGCUGAACUUAAGCAUAUUAAUAAGCGGAGGAAAAGAAACUAACAAGGAUUCCCCUAGUAAUGGCGAAUGAAGCGGGAACAGCUCAAAUUUGUAAUCUCCUCGGAGAAUUGUAGUUUGUAGAAGUGCAUUCGUCGGGCGUCUGGGUACAAGUCCCUUGGAACGGGGCAUCAAAGAGGGUGAGAAUCCCGUCUCUGAUCCAGUAGCGGCCGCAGUGUGAUGCAGUUUCAAAGAGUCGGGUUGUUUGGGAAUGCAGCCCAAAGUGGGUGGUAUAUUUCAUCUAAAGCUAAAUACAGGCGAGAGACCGAUAGCGAACAAGUACCGUGAGGGAAAGAUGAAAAGAACUUUGAAAAGAGAGUUAAAUAGUACGUGAAAUUGCUAAAAGGGAAACGAUUGAAAUCAGGAAUGGCGUGUGGAAAUCAGCCGGUUACCAAGGUGGCCGGUGCACUUUCCAGGCGGCAGGUCAACAUGGCUUUCGGACGAUGUAAAGUAGUGUGGGAAGGUGGCUCUCUCCGGGGAGUGUUAUAGCCUGCGCGAAUAGGUCGACCGGGAGCGAGGAUUGCAGUGCAUGCCUUGCGGCUGGCGAAGGAUCUGGUAUUUGAAGGUGGGUAG